Long non-coding RNA from Manis pentadactyla (Chinese pangolin), 2208 nucleotides. RefSeq lists it as uncharacterized. The transcript is spliced from 2 exons. The record is from RefSeq and is a predicted model, not a curated record. NCBI's taxonomy places the organism in Eukaryota, Metazoa, Chordata, Mammalia, Pholidota, Manidae.
GCUCAGGAGCUCUGUCCAGCUGGAAAGGCUGGGUUUCUGUCCCCUUUAGUCAGAACAAGCAGAAGGGUGGUGUUUAGGCUCCUGGAGGGACAAAGCCACAUGUGACCCUCUUUCUGGGUUGAUGGGGAAGUGGCUGGGCACACACACUGUGUCUCCUGGCAGCAGCUGUCAUCCAUGUUUGUGAGGGAGAAACCUUGAGAAAAUAGGUGCAGCUGCUCUGCCUGCAUUCUUAGGAGCCCAGGAAAGCACUUUGCAUGCACUUAGCAGACCAGACAGCCCCUUUUGCAAAUCCCCCUCCUGUCUUCUCCCUCUCAUUUCACAAUCCCAUCAGAAUGGGUGACUGUGCAAGUAGAGAAGGAUUUGCUCUUAAUGAGUCUGCCCAUAAUUGCCUUGUUUUCUUGGCGUUGACAAACUAUAUCCCUUAAUAAAAGUUUCAUGACUCAAUUUAUUGAGGGAGACAUGUAAUCCCAGCCCCUCCUGCCUGGUCUCAAAGAUUAUCUCUGGAACAUUCCUAUAUUUGACAUGAGCCCUGUCUUCAGGGGCAUUGCCAGGGCAUCUGUGGGCAGAGAGAGCCACCCACUCUCUGGGAAGGCCUCUCUGCAAUUGCCUGCUCCUUUCCUCUUGCGGUGGCCAGUGGUCAUUUUGGCUGCCCAGAAUCCACUCUCCCGCAUCUGUCCUAAUCACCUGUGGUGGAUUGUUUGCAGGCUGUCUAGCCCUUUGCCAGAUGCACCUCCCAUCAAGAGGUGGGGUCUAUUUUCUCUCCCCUUAGGUCAAGGCCAAGGUGCUUUGACAGUGGAAUUCCUAGAAGUGACUCCAUGUGGGUGCCCAGGACAGAGCUCCAGGGGCCUUGGGGCUUCUGGCUUUGCCGUGUCGGGGGGCUGACAUGGAGGAGAGCUGAAGCACCCUAACCAGCACAGUGCCAAUUGCCAGGUGUGCAAGUGACAUCAUUGACCUCCCAGCCCUGGUAGAGCCAUCAGAAAACUGCAGCCCAAGGAUGAUGCCAGGGAGAAGAGCAUGGCUUCCAGAUUCCAGCCCAGAGACUCCUGAGGAAGAAAACUGCCACUUUAAGCCACAGAGAUUGGCAAGCCUGUUACGCAGCAAUAGAUGACUUUUGCAACCACCUCUUUCUGUCUCAGCUAUGGCAUCUGGGUGGGGACUGACCCUAGACAGAGCUCCGGGAGUGGGUCCUGACUGGUUUAAGCUAAUUGGAGCAUCCUGUCCUCCUCAUUCUCAGUGACAUAUCAGGAACCAUUUGCUGGAGCUGAGCGAGAAACUUCCUUACUGCCUGAGAAAAAGCUGCUGUGGUGUGAGAAUGUGGGGACAGGAAGCCAGGAAUCAAGGCAGCUGUUUAUAGCCUGGGGAGCACCUGGAGCUUCUGGGGGACUUCCAUGUGGAGCCAGAGGGUGGAGGCAAUGGAGCCAAAGCCACAGGAGCAGAAGUAAAAGCUAUUAAAGAAUCAGAAGGAAAGAAGGAAAGUUGGAAGAAAGGAAGAUACUUUUCAGAUGGUGAAACAAUUCCAAGAAAAUAAAGAAGUACGUUUUCUAUGGACUGGUGUUGGGCAGUUGACCAGGUGGCAGGCAGCCUCUAAGACAGCAGUUAAUGAUCCCAGCCUUCUGUCAGUCACACCUCUGCAUAGUCCUCUCCCACCUUGGAUAGUACUGACCUGUGGAACCCAUUGAAUAUUACGGAAAUGGCAGUGUAUUGGCUGGAUCAUAAAAGACAUUGCAACUUUCACCUUGCCUUCUCGAAGAUGAUGCACUCUUAGAGAAGGAAGCCAGCUGCCAUGUUUUGAUGACAUUCAAGCAGCUCUACAGAGAGGCCAGCAUGGCAGGGAUCCAAUGCUUUCUGCCAACAGCCAGCAUGAACUUGCUGGCCAGCCAUGUUGCAAGUGGAUCCUUCAGCUUUAAGAUUUUAGAGAUGGCAGCCCUGGCCAAUGUCUUAAUAGCAACCUCAUGAGAGAUCCUGAGCCAGGACCACCCAGCUUAGUCAAUCCUAAAUUCCUGACUCAGAGAAACUGUGAGCUAAUAAAAGCUUCUUGCUGUUUUAAGUGGCUGUAUUUCGGGUAAUUUGUUACACAGCAAUAGGCGACUUGUAUACCAAAAGAGAGGAGCCCAUUUUUAUUGAAUACUUGCAUUGUUCUAUGAAGCCCCAAAUGUUCUUUUGUGUAAUCUUAACAUAAACCCCUUAACAAACACUCAUGUAACAUUU